GACGAACGCUGGCGGCGUGCUUAACACAUGCAAGUCGAGCGGAAAGGCCUUCUUUCCCUUGUGUAUUGCGGGUACUCGAGUGGCGAACGGGUGAGUAACACGUGAGUGAUCUGCCCCCAACUUUUGUAUAAGCCUGGGAAACUGGGUCUAAUUCCCGAUAGGACUGCAGUGUGGGGCCUGUGGUUGAAAACGAUUUUCUAGUGGUUGGGGAUGAGCUCGCUGCCUAUCAGCUUGUGGGUGGGGUAAUGGCCUACCAAUACGGCGACUGGUAGCCGGCCUGGGAGGGUGGACGGGCACAGUGGGACGGAGAUACGGCGAAGAAGACUCCGGGAGGAAGCAGUGGGGAAGAAGGAACAAGGGGCGGAAGACUGAGGGAGGGAGGCCGAGUGGGGGAUGACGGGCUUGGGGUGGUAGACUACGGGCGACAGAGAGGAAGCCACCUGGUUGGAAGGGUGGUGACGGUAGUGGUAGAAGAAGCACCGGCUAAAUACGUG
This 494-nucleotide ribosomal RNA is filed under the name uncultured bacterium. RNAcentral's name for it is "partial 16S ribosomal RNA". It matches the Rfam family "Bacterial small subunit ribosomal RNA", at positions 28 to 507 of the family's 1533-position model. The record is from RNAcentral.